Zea mays is the source of this 425-nucleotide long non-coding RNA. RefSeq lists it as uncharacterized. The record is from RefSeq and is a predicted model, not a curated record. NCBI's taxonomy places the organism in Eukaryota, Viridiplantae, Streptophyta, Magnoliopsida, Poales, Poaceae. The transcript has 3 exons.
UGAACGGAUAUUUGCUGAUAGGGUCAUCAAAGCUGAUGGAGAUGAUCUGGUUCCUGAAUAUUUAGUCAAAUGGCAAGGACUUCCUUAUGCAGAAUCUACCUGGGAAAAAGAUACAUAUAUCGAUUUUGCUCAAGAUGCAAUUGAUGAAUAUAAGACAGGCAAUUGAAAAUGAGAAUUGAUCUUUUUUAUGGGCGAAGUGUUGAAGAUGGCUUUGGUGAAGAAAAUGUCUUGUUAGCAUCAAGUAAGUGGCGACAUCACAACCCCUACAAGCUUGUGCCUUAAAACAAGAGGAUACAAGAAGUUGGAGUGCUUUUGUGAAGGCUUUUGCGAAUCACUUGAAGCAUUAGUACUUUUGUGAAUGAUUUUGUAAAGUGUUUGCAAAUAUGUGCAAAACAUAAUAACAUGUGUAGGUUUUGUGAAUGAUU